CAAGGAAUUUUGCGCAAUGGGCGAAAGCCUGACGCAGCAACACCGCGUGAGGGAAGACAGCCCUCGGGUUGUAAACCUCUUUUGUCAGGGAAGAAUAAUGACGGUACCUGGCGAAUAAGUCACGGCUAACUACGUGCCAGCAGCUGCGGUAAUACGUAGGUGGCAAGCGUUAUCCGGAUUCACUGGGCGUAAAGAGCGCGUAGGUGGUCCUUCAAGUCAGAUGUUAAAUUUUCCGGCUCAACUGGAAAAUGUCAUUUGAUACUGCUGGACUUGAGGGUGGUAGAAGGAGGUGGAAUUCCCGGUGUAGUGGUGAAAUGCGUAGAUAUCGGGAGGAACACCAGUGGCGAAAGCGGCCUCCUAGGCCAUUCCUGACACUGAGGCGCGAAAGCGUGGGGAGCGAACAGG
Molecule: ribosomal RNA, 405 nt
Filed under: uncultured bacterium
Lineage: Bacteria
Description: bacterial SSU rRNA
Rfam family: Bacterial small subunit ribosomal RNA
Source: RNAcentral